GCGGUCAAAAACAAUCCGCCCGCCCCUUCCCAUCCUACCACGGAACUGGUAACUUUCCUCCUCGAAUUGUGGUGGCAGUAUACCAGCGUCUGCUAACUCUCUCGCUUCCAGUGGCUUCGUGAACAGCAUCACCGGUUCCAUAGUAUCGAUGGAUCGAAUCGGGAACUACGCAAACACCAGAGCCACAUCAAGUUCCAACAAAAGUGAAAGCAAAAGAGAGCCAGCCACAGUACCUUUCUAGCUGGUCGUCCUCUCGACAGAGGUAAGCGUUUCUUGCGCUUCUUUCUCAAGGGGUCCAUCCUGUCCACUAAGGAGUUUUCCAGCAUGGGGUUGGCAUAGUCGUAGGCGUCCCCGUUCAUCUGGUCCGUGCCUGCUUGCAAGUCGUCACUACGCUUUGGAAACAAGAGUUUCCGGGGCACUGUUGGUGGGAACAGGGAUGCGCUGUUGAGGAACGACGUGUCCUCGUCGGCUUUGGAUUCGUGCUGUUUGUGAAGUUACGAGAGAGAGAAAGAGCUCACUUUCCAUAACAGGGGCGACGAAAACAAAAGUCACAGCUACCUU
This 561-nucleotide long non-coding RNA is filed under the name Selaginella moellendorffii. RNAcentral describes it as "long non-coding RNA (SMOE_LNC000465)". The record is from RNAcentral. Lineage: Eukaryota; Viridiplantae; Streptophyta; Lycopodiopsida; Selaginellales; Selaginellaceae.